This 702-nucleotide ribosomal RNA is filed under the name Triticum aestivum (bread wheat). Its description in RNAcentral is "partial small subunit ribosomal RNA". The record is from RNAcentral. Lineage: Eukaryota; Viridiplantae; Streptophyta; Magnoliopsida; Poales; Poaceae.
AUGAGAGUUGGGCCUCCUAAUUCCCCUUUCCCUUCCCUUCUUAAUUCCCAAGUCCAUGAACCAAUCAAAAGAUUUUUAGUCCCAGCCACCUUAAAUUCCCAUUCCCUAGCUUCAACUCCCCCUAAACAAACAGGCUACGGGUUAGAGAGGGAGAGAGGGACCGGAGAUGCGCCGGCUGCCGCCCCGCCGGUCGAGUGUCAAGGCAGCCCAUCUCCCUCUUCGCGCCAUCGCCAUCUAAGCCUCCCUAUGAGGAUAGCGUGGUGUUCCAGAAGAGGCACACAAAUAAGCAGCUCUUUUUCGAGCUGCAAUUCGGAACCGAAGCGGCUCCUUUUCGAGCUGCAAUCAGCAAUCAAGCAGCUCCUAUCCGAGCUGCAAUUCGACAUCGACGCGGCUCCCCACCGAGCUCUAAUCCGAUUUCGACCCCCUUUCUGUGUAGAUCACGGAAGGGGAUCGAGUCCGUCUCGUGUUCAGUCUGCGAGGUGCAGUCGGAGGCGCAAACGAAGCCAAUAUAAAUUGGCCAGUCGGCCCGACCGGAAGCCAACAGGUCUCAGACGAGACCAGCGAUUCCCCAGCCAGGUUGACGGUCGCCUACCUUCUCCGGCGACCGGCGGCCGCCAAUUCUUAUCGCAUCUUGGCAGAUCUACCCGGAGCCAUGGGGGUUUUUUGUUUUCAUCAAAGAUGCCAAAAAUUGACAUCUUUUAG